AACGAACGCUGGCGGCAUGCCUAACACAUGCAAGUCGAACGAUACCUUCGGGUCUAGUGGCGCACGGGUGCGUAACGCGUGGGAACCUGCCCUUAGGUUCGGAAUAACUCCCCGAAAGGGGUGCUAAUACCGGAUAAUGUCUUCGGACCAAAGAUUUAUCGCCUUUGGAUGGGCCCGCGUUGGAUUAGCUAGUUGGUAGGGUAAAAGCCUACCAAGGCGACGAUCCAUAGCUGGUCUGAGAGGAUGAUCAGCCACACUGGGACUGAGACACGGCCCAGACUCCUACGGGAGGCAGCAGUGGGGAAUAUUGGACAAUGGGCGAAAGCCUGAUCCAGCAAUGCCGCGUGAGUGAUGAAGGCCUUAGGGUUGUAAAGCUCUUUUACCCGGGAUGAUAAUGACAGUACCGGGAGAAUAAGCUCCGGCUAACUCCGU
This 432-nucleotide ribosomal RNA is filed under the name uncultured bacterium. RNAcentral describes it as "partial 16S ribosomal RNA". It matches the Rfam family "Bacterial small subunit ribosomal RNA", at positions 29 to 506 of the family's 1533-position model. The record is from RNAcentral.